This 422-nucleotide ribosomal RNA is filed under the name uncultured Clostridium sp. RNAcentral describes it as "bacterial SSU rRNA". It matches the Rfam family "Bacterial small subunit ribosomal RNA", at positions 355 to 794 of the family's 1533-position model. The record is from RNAcentral. Lineage: Bacteria; Bacillati; Bacillota; Clostridia; Eubacteriales; Clostridiaceae.
UGGGGAAUAUUGCACAAUGGGGGAAACCCUGAUGCAGCAACGCCGCGUGAGUGAUGAAGGUCUUCGGAUCGUAAAGCUCUGUCUUCAGGGACGAUAAUGACGGUACCUGAGGAGGAAGCCACGGCUAACUACGUGCCAGCAGCCGCGGUAAUACGUAGGUGGCGAGCGUUGUCCGGAUUUACUGGGCGUAAAGGGAGCGUAGGCGGUUUGAUAAGUUGGAUGUGAAAUACCCGGGCUUAACCUGGGGGGUGCAUCCAAUACUGUUGGACUAGAGUACAGGAGAGGAAAGCGGGAUUCCUAGUGUAGCGGUGAAAUGCAUAGAUAUUAGGAGGAACAUCGGUGGCGAAGGCGGCUUUCUGGACUGCAACUGACGCUGAGGCUCGAAAGCGUGGGGAGCAAACAGGAUUAGAUACCCUGGUAGU